UAUUUGUUGAUGUAACGGGCAUAAAAGAUUUUGAUUCUUUAGGAGUUAGUGCAAUUCUAUCACAGAUAAU
RNAcentral lists this transfer RNA (70 nucleotides) under Triops cancriformis. Its description in RNAcentral is "tRNA-Gln". The record is from RNAcentral. Lineage: Eukaryota; Metazoa; Arthropoda; Branchiopoda; Notostraca; Triopsidae.